This is a long non-coding RNA of Olea europaea var. sylvestris, 663 nucleotides long. RefSeq lists it as uncharacterized. The transcript has 3 exons. The record is from RefSeq and is a predicted model, not a curated record. NCBI's taxonomy places the organism in Eukaryota, Viridiplantae, Streptophyta, Magnoliopsida, Lamiales, Oleaceae.
UUCAUCCCAUUUAUUCCACUUUCAUUCACUUGGUUUUGGCUACUGUUCCCAAAUAUCUUCCAUGUAAAAUUACUUUUUGUUCUCUCUCUCUUUCUCUCUCUCUCUUAUCACUUCACAUGUCUUUUGGAUUUACUCCUUCCACAAUCAAACCAAAAUAAGGAAGAAGAAAGUGAUGACGUGCACUUGAGGGACUAGAACAAGAGUUUGAAGAUUGCAAAACUGAUAAUCAAGAUGUGACGAUUGCAGUUUUAAAAGUGCAGUUACACUGCAAGGGGUGCAUAAAGAAAAUCCUCGAAAUUGUGAACAAAACAAAAAGUGAGUAGCUACCAUGUUACGUUUACUAAAUUGAAGUGCUCAACGGAGACAUUGAUGGCAUUAUUGGGUAUGAAGUUGUGCAAAUAGACAGAUGGAAGGAUUUAAUGACAAUGAUGGGAGUAAUGGACAUGAAGGCUUUGGCUGAGUCUCUGAAUGAACAUAGGAGGAUUUGAUAUUUUGCUCAUCCAGACGAUUACCCUUUGCAAUCAAAUUUUGAUUAAACUGGCUGCUUUCAUGAAGAAAAUAAAAUAAUACUCUUAAGAUAUAUAUUCGUUUGCAAAUUCCUGCUUCUUUUUCACAUUGUAUAUAGUUCUGUUGGCAUUAUGUACAAGUUUGAUUUACUUCCAA